Molecule: ribosomal RNA, 583 nt
Filed under: Proteobacteria bacterium BvORHM001
Lineage: Bacteria; Pseudomonadati; Pseudomonadota
Description: bacterial SSU rRNA
Rfam family: Bacterial small subunit ribosomal RNA
Source: RNAcentral
ACGGGUGAGUAAUAUAUCGGAACGUGCCCAGUUGUGGGGGAUAGCCCGGCGAAAGCCGGAUUAAUACCGCAUACGACCUGAGGGUGAAAGCGGGGGAUCGCAAGACCUCGCGCAAUUGGAGCGGCCGAUAUCAGAUUAGCUAGUUGGUGGGGUAAAGGCCUACCAAGGCGACGAUCUGUAGCUGGUCUGAGAGGACGACCAGCCACACUGGGACUGAGACACGGCCCAGACUCCUACGGGAGGCAGCAGUGGGGAAUUUUGGACAAUGGGCGCAAGCCUGAUCCAGCCAUGCCGCGUGCGGGAAGAAGGCCUUCGGGUUGUAAACCGCUUUUGUCAGGGAAGAAACGGUCUGAACUAAUACUUUGGACUAAUGACGGUACCUGAAGAAUAAGCACCGGCUAACUACGUGCCAGCAGCCGCGGUAAUACGUAGGGUGCAAGCGUUAAUCGGAAUUACUGGGCGUAAAGCGUGCGCAGGCGGCUAUGCAAGACAGAUGUGAAAUCCCCGGGCUCAACCUGGGAACUGCAUUUGUGACUGCAUGGCUAGAGUACGGUAGAGGGGGAUGGAAUUCCGCGUGUAGCAG